AAGGUCCUUGUUAGUUAUCUAUUUUAUAUAUAGUAGUGUUAAUCUCAAACCGCUCUUUUAUCUCUCCCAGCACCGUCAUUUCUUGUGUGAGCUUAGCUUUAGUUAAGCCACUCAGGCUUUAGCUAAUUAGAGCUGCCAAUUUUUGAAUACCUACUAUGCCUCAGGCAUGACGCUGAAUUUUCUAUAUACUUUUUCAGUGUAACCCUCAAAGCUACACUGAGGUGAAUAGUCUUCCUCUCAUUUUACAGUUACUGAAGUGAAAUAGCAUGUCAAAGGUCAUCUAGGACUUGAGCCAGAAAUUUAACUCAGUCCUGUUUGAUAACACAACCUGUGGUUUUGUUUUGGUUUUUGUUUUGUUUUGUUUUGUUUUUUGUUUUUUCUGUUCAGUUGGUUGUUUUUUCGUUGUUGGUUUUGUUUUGUUUUUUUUUUAAUUUAUUUUAGUGUCUUUUUAGGGCCACACCCAUGGCAUAUGGAAGUUCCCAGGCUAGGGGUUGAAUCAGAGCUACAGUUGGCGGCCUACGCCACAGCCACAGCAACGCUGGAUCUGAGACGCAUCUUCAACCUACACCACAGCUCAUGGCAAUGCUGGAUCCUUAACCCACUGAGCAAGGCCAAGGAUUGAGCGAAUCCUCUUUCCAUGCAUACUAGUCAGGUUCAUUACCACUGAGCCACAAUGGGAGCUCCCGAAUCUAUUUAUUUUUUUUAAUUUUUUUUAAGAACUUGAGGCCAGCAAUUCUUAAGGAAUGAACUUAAUAAUAAAUUAUUUCCUGGUCAUGUUCUGUGACCAAUUUAAUAUGGGGAAUGCUGACUACAGUGUCCCUGUCAUAAAGACCCACAGUGUAAUUUUGUAUCUAGAAAGUUCUGUGAAGUCCUGGAGUGAGAAAUACUUAACUUUUUUUUUUUUUCCAACCAAGAAUUUCCCAUAUUAAAUGGACCAUCAGUCUUUUUUCCUGUAACAUCUUUUCAUGGUCUAAGAGGCAAGUGCUCCUCGGAGACUCACAGCUGGGAACCACAACUGAAGCAGAAUUAAAGGGAUUACAGAGUUUAUCCCACUAACUAUAAGACUUCUAUGAACAACAACUUUUUAAAACAUCUCCAUGAAUGAGAGGCUCACUACCUGGCCAGACAGCUUGUUCCAUUGUUGUACAAAUGCACUGGUUAGAACAGCACUGCCCAAUCGAAAGAUACUGCAAGCCCCAAGUAUGGCUCUAAGCUUUCUAGAAGCCACAAGAAAAAAACUAAAAAGGACAAGCAAAAUUCAUUUUAACAAUAUAUAUUAUUUACCCUCAAUGGAUCUAAAAAUAACAUUUCAGUAUGGAACCAAUAAAAAAUGAUGGCGAUAUUUUACCUUUUUUUAUUAUUGUCUUUAAAAUCCAGACUAGCCACAUUUCAGGCACCCCAUGGCCACAUCUAGCUAGUGUCUACCAUACGUAGAACACAGGUUUAGAAGAUUCUCCUUUAGGCCGAGCUAAGCUCUUCCUGCCUGUGCCUCUCCCCCAUGGGUUCAAGGGUGCCGUCUGCAAUGAUAACUCAGUCACCAGCCCUGGGGAUGAGUUCUGCUAGGCCUGCUAACUGGAUCACCUUACUGUACAGUAGAAAAUUAACAGAACACUGUAAACCAGCUAUAAUGGAAAAAAUAAAAAUCAUUAUAAAUGGGGAAAAAAAAGAAAGAAAAGUGCUAUAUAAUGCAAGGCCUCAUUCUCCUAACUCCUAGCGGGGCAGCCUGCCUGUCACCAGGGUUUUUAGCGGUCUCAUCACACCAUUAUUUUACAUUAAACCUACAGCUGCUAAGACAAUGCCUGGCCUGGCGCAACUUCUACUUUCUGCUCCCCAGGCCUCCGUUUCCCCAUCUGUCCAAUAGUGGAUUUGACUUUUCUAUGAUUCAGACCUUUCCCAUGUCUUUGUAUCCAAUACCACUCCCUUGAUCUUCUGACUAAAUCUUCCUUUAAACUACGUCUUAGAAUUGAGGCACAGUUACAGCCUCCCACAUACCCUAAUAAUAAGACCUUUCUGGGUGUUCCCCACAGGUCAGGCAUGGUGUGCUAAGAGCCUUAUAUAUAGCACCUCAUUUAAUCCUCCCCACACCCAAGUGAAGUAAACAUUAUCAUUAUUCCCAUUUAUAAUUGUGGAAACUGAGGCAUCAAAUGGUGAGUCAUAGUCACACACCUAAGAAGGGGAACAGCUAGAGAUUCCAGCCUGGCCCUCCUCCCGGCUCCCUGAUCCCAGGCUGUGAAUGCAUCUCUAGGCCUUAGACCUGAGCUGAGCCCAGACCUCAGAUAACUACCAAAGGAACAAGGGAAGCUGCCUCUUGCCUUUUGUUGUUGCUGCUGCUAAAAUCUGAGUGUCCCCCUUCUGUUUUGCAGAGGAAGGAAAUAUUGUUAUCGUUUCCUCCCUAAGGAAAUCCUACUCUUUACAAGUUGACUUUCCUCCCAUCCCCUUGACCUUCCAGGGAAGGGGCUGAGGUCCCUGAAGGCUGGAGCAGACCUGAGUUGCUCAGGGUGCCUGUCUGGAGCAGGGGUAUUUUUAGAGUUGGCUGCACUGUUUACUAGGAAGCCAGCCUGUCCCCUGAACCUUCCCUCUGUCUACGGGGGAGCACUGGCUGCCGGUCCCACCCACUGCCUCUGCGGCUCUGGCCCUUCCUCCCUCCCUCCCAGCUGCUCCUUCCCUGUCCUCUCUGUCACUACGUGGACUCUCUCAGCACAUGGGUGCACUGUCAUUACGACCCUGGGAGACAGCAGAGCAGGCAGAACUGCAGCCCAUGGCGCUGAAAACCUCCUAGGGUGGCCAGCUGUGCCCUGGCCUCCAGACUCCUCAGAGGAAGCGUCACCCUCCUCUGUCCUGUGGGCAGGCUGGACUUCUCCAGCGGCUGAAAGAGGUUCGGGGAUUGUUACUAGAAGCUGCUCUAUUCCCACCAUGCCUCCUCUGCUCCCUCCUCCACCCCCCCCACUUCUAUUCCCACUUCCCUGCCCCCCCAGCCCCUUCCCCAUCCUCCUCCUCCUCUUCCCCACAGCUGUGCUUUUGACACAAGCAAUGGCAUAUGUAUUCCUAAGGAGGGGGAGUCCCAGCAGAGGGAAGAGGAAUUGACUUCCCUCUGUGACUUCAUGCCUCCCCAUUCCCCACACUUGGUGGUCUCUGAUGUGCCAGGCACUGGGCCAGGCACUCAGGGGUGUGGCCAGGUGCAAACCCCACCCAUGGGCUAGUUAGCCUGGUGGGCUCGAGUCAGGGUAGCCCUCCCAGUUGAUUGGGAAAGUUGCACAUUAAAAAAAAAAAAGUGUCACCUUUGACCACCUUGUCUGCUGUCUAAGGCCCUGCAUUCGCACUUUCUCCAGUGUCAUUUUACUGUCAUACAGGUGCCACUAUUGGAGACUAUAACAACAGAAAGAGGUGGCCCUUGUCCCCUCCCCCUGACCACCAGGCACAAGAAAUGGCUUGCUUAAUGGGACAAAAGGCUGAAAGAGUAACAGUGCCAGCAAGUAAGUUUGACAGGUGUGACUGGAGUGUAGGGUCUGGCAAGGGAGAAAGUCAGGUGAGCAGACUGGAGACCCAGGAUGGAACUGUCGUGCCAGGAGCCCACCACGGGAAGCCACGGCCACUCCUGUCCUGCGUCAGGGGCCGCCUCAGCAAGAAUGUCAGUCUGGGCUGCAGGAGGGAGAAACAGCAGCAGGGAGGCCCCCCAGGACACAGCGACAGGACUUCUGGGCUUAAUCCUUCAUCCUUCCUUCUAACACCCUAGACUUUGCAAACCCGAACAUUCCUGGGAUGUGCUCAUUUCCAGUCCUCUCCUCACCCACAUUCUUCGUCUUACUAGCUGGUGACCUUCGACAAGUUGUGUGGCUUGAUUUCCUUUACCUGUAAUUCAGAGAAAGUGCAUGUGCCUAUGUGCACACACUCAAGGGUAUACACACACACACCCCCAAAGGGUUGUUAUGAAGCUGCAGUAAAUAAGACUGUGGAAGGAAGCCUUCUGGAAAGCACAGGCUGUACCGAUCUCUCCUCGCCUGCCCUCAGCUGCUAUUCCCAUUCCACGAGGGGAAAUCCUUGCCCGGAAAGCCCUGCUCGUCUUGGCGUGGGGCCCAGGGCGGGCGCCCCCGUGGAGGCCAGGUCUUUCCCUUCCCAUUUCCCUUGUUGAUUCCAGUGCAACGGUUGCUGGCUUGCAGGUGGACAGCCAGGGCUCUGAACUUGCCCUGCUGCAGGGAUAAGGUCCCCCUUGGCUGCUUAGGCUCUAUGGCUGACACUGGGGACCUGGAGAGGUUCAAGGGGCCUUGGCGAGGGAAGGAAUCUCAGGUAUCUCAACGGAGAUGGAUGGGGAUUUCUCAUGUUCAGGCUAUACAGCUCAGAGUUGAUAUGCCGCCUCUACGAAGGCCUUUGGGCAAGAUGAAGAGGCGAUGCUGGGGAGGUGCUCUGAGCCAGGGAAGAGGGGCGACAUGGCAGCGGGGCGGGGAGCAAGAAUCCCAGGAAGCGGACAGAACUUCAGGAAGGCAGAGGUGUGGGUGAGCAGGAAGCAGGAGCACUUGCAGGCAGCCUGCAGCUCCUCCCCGCACCUACCUGCUGCUGAGCUGGCCUUUGGCUUUGACCUCUCCUUCUUCCCCCCUGCCCCCACCCCCACUGAUUAACGAGUCCCCAGGUUUUCAGGUCUUAGAUGUCUCCAGUACACUUCCUCUCUCCUCUAGUCCUGUGGCCACUGCCUGCAACUCACAGCCCUUUCUGGCUUCACCAGACUGCCUGUGGACUCCCUGCCAUGAAAGGAGUUACCUUUUCUUUGGCAGAGACCUGUAACCCCCUCCAUUGGACCUGUUGGUUUAUCUUAUCCAUUUCUGUCAACUCCAAAGCCACACACCCUGUUCUUACCUGCAAAUCUUCAUACAGGGUAUGGCACUUAGCAUAGGCUGAAAAAACAAUUUUUUUUUUCUCUUUUCCGGAAUGGGGAAAUAAAUAAAGCCAAAAAGGAAGGAAGGAAAGAGAGUAAAUUUGAUCUUCAAAGAGCAUCGGUUCCUCCCUGCAUCUGGAACUCACUCCUAGGUAUCUCUAAGGCUUGCUGCCUUCCACCUUUACAUCUUUGCUCCAAUGGCACCUUCUCAGUGAAAGCUUCCUAGCACCACAUUUAAAUUUACCAGAGCCACUGCCCUAGGUAGGCUCUGUCCUUCCCUGUGUUGUCUUCUUCACACUUAUCACCAUCUGACACCUUACAUUUUCCUGAUUUUGUAUGCAUUUACUGUCUGUCUCCCCUCACUAGAAUAUGAGCUCCCUGAAGGCAGGAACCUUUAUCCUAUUGAUUCAUUUCUGUGUCUCUGGCGCCGGAAAUAGCACCUAACAGAUAAUGAGCAUUCAGAAAAUAUUUGGAGGAUGGGUGGAAGGAAACAAGCAAGUAGUGAACACCAGUUAAGUCAGUCCCCACUCUGCAGAUGAGGGAGCUGAAGCAGGGAGAGUUUAUGGGCCCCAGGUCACAGAGGGAGUUGAUUGCAGAGUUGAAUGGAUGUGAGUGGGUAGUGGGAAGAAGCAUGGGUUGCUUGGAUUGGGCCUGAAAAGAAGGACCUGGAACCCCAGGUGGAAAGUUUGGUUCUAAGAUCUAGGGCAUAUUCUCAGUGGAGAAAUGACAGAGCCCGGGGGAGACUGGUCUGACCUGCAGAUUGGACGAAGGGGCAGUACAGAGUUUCACUGGAGACAUAUAUUUAGGCUGUUGCUGUUUGAUCAAUAGCCUGGAUUUAUAGAAAUCCUGCCACUCUGUCUUCCUAUGGGAAAAGCCAUUGCUUAUUCACCCUGGAAGGGCUGACAGCUCAAAGGAUUUCUGAAGGUUCAGGACCAGAGUGAGUGGGGCCCCUGGAUGCCUAACAGCUCUCCCGCAAGCCUCCCCACCUAGGCUGGAAUGUUCCCUUUUCCGUGAGGUCUCUGAUAACCGAACUGCAACACAGACUUCUCUCUUUGGCAGUGAAAGGCCAGAGUCUGACACACAGUAAGAUUUUAGGGACUACUUAUUGAAGGAAAAAUUGUAAUUAGAAAAUUGUUGAGGUGUUCUCUUGCAGUACAGUGGGUUAAGGAUCUAGCAUUGACAUGGCUGUGGCGCAGGUUCGAUCCCCGGCCCGGGAAUUUCUACACGCCACAGGCACAGCCAAUAAAAUAAAAUAAAAUUAAAUUAAAAUAAACAAACCAUCUCCUCAUUCUCCGAACUCUUCUAAAAAGAAAAACUGUUGCUGUUAUGGUGAUCAUUAGAUUCAAUCAUGGGGG
RNAcentral lists this long non-coding RNA (6222 nucleotides) under Sus scrofa (pig). RNAcentral describes it as "lncRNA (ENSSSCG00065067221.1)". Lineage: Eukaryota; Metazoa; Chordata; Mammalia; Artiodactyla; Suidae. The record is from RNAcentral.